ACUCAAAUGAAUUGACGGGGACUUGCACAAGCGGUGGAACAUGUGGUUCAAUUCGACGCUAAACGAAGAACCUUACCAGGGUUAGAAAUCCAGACGAAUACCAGCAGAAACGUUGGUAGCCGAAAGGCGGCUGGACAGGUGCUGCAUGGCUGUCGUCAGUUCGUGGUUUGAACUGUUCCCUUCAGUGGGGUAACGAACGCAACCCCUGUUGCCUGUUAUAAGUGUCAGGCGAGACUGCCCCCGCAAGUGUGCGCAAAUAUUUGUGCUUACUUGUGGGGGAGGAAGGUGGGGAUGACGCCAAGUCAGCAUGGCCCUCUGACACCCUGGGCUACACACGUGUUACAAUCGCAUCUACAACGGGACGCAAUAUCGUAAGAUGGAGCAAACCCUUAUAAAGGAUGCGCCAGUUCGGAUAGAGGUCUGCAACUCGACCUCUUGAAGCCGGAAUCGCUAGUAAUCGCAGGUCAGCUAUACUGCGGUGAAUACGUUCUCAAGUCUUGUACACACCGCCCGU
Molecule: ribosomal RNA, 514 nt
Filed under: uncultured bacterium
Lineage: Bacteria
Description: partial 16S ribosomal RNA
Rfam family: Bacterial small subunit ribosomal RNA
Source: RNAcentral